This 24-nucleotide non-coding RNA is filed under the name Arabidopsis thaliana (thale cress). Lineage: Eukaryota; Viridiplantae; Streptophyta; Magnoliopsida; Brassicales; Brassicaceae. The record is from RNAcentral.
AGGUAUCACAUGCCAAGUUUGGCC